CCUCCCUCAGGAUCACACAUUCUGCUUUGAUCCCCUCACCCAGGGACCCCUCCAGGCUUCUCUCACCUGCCCUGCUUCGUAAUGAUCAUCUCAGUUUGGUGACGGUGGAAUUUGAGCCACAGAGGCCGGUUGCACAGGAAAGUAGAAAAGAAAGGCAGUGCCAUGCCUGCCGCAGGACUGCGAAGAGGAGCAAGGGGCCUGGCUCCAAAAGGAAACAACGCCCUCAGUGUAAAUCAGCUGCUCAUCCCUAGCAGAGCUGGCGGAGAUUAAAGUUUCUGACAGUGAUACACACAGGUGUGCAGGACGUGGACACAACAGGUGGGCAGAGUCCAGUCCUGAGAACCAAGGCUUCAGGGCGCCAGGAGCAGCUGCAAUCUUUACCCAGGCCCUAAGUGAGAAAUGAGAGAGAAAGUCUGCAUUGGCGCAGAAACUUGGCAGAGAUAACUACAGACGAGAACGGACAGCAGGACAGAAAAACCAGAGAGCAAACUCCUAAAAUCCUCCUCUGUAGAUUCUUAAGAGAAGAGCAGAAUGUUGGACCCAGAAUUGUAUGUAUAUGUGGGUCUUCCUUUUACUCACUUCGAGAUCUCAGCAAGCUCCUUACGUGCCUCAGUUUCCCUAUCUGUAAUAAUAGCACACGUACUAUAAAUAAAGCAAGUAGACUAGCAGCCUUCCCAGGAAA
Molecule: long non-coding RNA, 682 nt
Organism: Cavia porcellus (domestic guinea pig)
Lineage: Eukaryota; Metazoa; Chordata; Mammalia; Rodentia; Caviidae
Exons: 2
Source: RefSeq, a predicted model, not a curated record